UCUAUUGUUCUCUGUGUCAUAUCAACAAACAAUAAUUAUAUGGUUAUAUUCAUCAUGCAAUAGCCAAGAGAAAGAAGAAUUGAAGUGUAUAAAAAUGCACUAGCUGGAGGAGCAGCGUAUGUUGCAUAUUCACGAGUUCUAUUCCUGGGUACUGCUGGUGUGGGGAUGACAAGCUUUAAACGUUCUCUUAUGAAGUUACCAUGGGAACCGAGUGUAUCUGAUAUUAAUCAAGUUCGUCCAUUCACACGCGAGUGGCACACACUCAAAAAAGAUCAAUUGAGUGUUGCAUUGUAUGAGGAUGAGAUUAAAGAAUUGGUCGGAUUAAUAUUCGCUGUUUUUGAAGAAGAACUUAAAGGCUCUGAUCAUACUACUCCGUCUGCUUCGAACAAAAAAUUUCAACGUGAAAUUAUGAAUGCAGUUGACACAAUUGUGUCCGAUGUUGAAUCUUCUAUUAAAAAUCAUACUCAGCCAGAGAAGCCACAACCAUUUCUUCAUUUUUGGGACUGUGGUGGUCAGUUGCCUUUUCUUGAGAUUUUACCAGUUUUUCUCACUUCUGGUACAUUAUUCUUUCUUAUUUUUGAU
This is a long non-coding RNA of Amphimedon queenslandica, 582 nucleotides long. RefSeq lists it as uncharacterized. Lineage: Eukaryota; Metazoa; Porifera; Demospongiae; Haplosclerida; Niphatidae. The transcript is spliced from 2 exons. The record is from RefSeq and is a predicted model, not a curated record.